Molecule: ribosomal RNA, 914 nt
Filed under: Methylophilaceae bacterium enrichment culture clone B31285
Lineage: Bacteria; Pseudomonadati; Pseudomonadota; Betaproteobacteria; Nitrosomonadales; Methylophilaceae
Description: bacterial SSU rRNA
Rfam family: Bacterial small subunit ribosomal RNA
Source: RNAcentral
AGAGUUUGAUCAUGGCUCAGAUUGAACGCUGGCGGAAUGCUUUACACAUGCAAGUCGAACGAUGAACCUUAGCUUGCUAAGGGGAUUAGUGGCGAACGGGUGAGUAAUAUAUCGGAACGUACCUUGUAAUGGGGGAUAACUAGUCGAAAGAUUAGCUAAUACCGCAUACGCCCUGAGGGGGAAAGUAGGGGAUCUUCGGACCUUACGUUAUAAGAGCGGCCGAUAUCUGAUUAGCUAGUUGGUGGGGUAAUGGCCUACCAAGGCGACGAUCAGUAGCUGGUCUGAGAGGACGACCAGCCACACUGGAACUGAGACACGGUCCAGACUCCUACGGGAGGCAGCAGUGGGGAAUUUUGGACAAUGGGCGCAAGCCUGAUCCAGCCAUUCCGCGUGAGUGAAGAAGGCCUUCGGGUUGUAAAGCUCUUUCGCAAGGGAAGAAAACUUACAUUCUAAUAAAGUGUGAGGCUGACGGUACCUUGAUAAGAAGCACCGGCUAACUACGUGCCAGCAGCCGCGGUAAUACGUAGGGUGCGAGCGUUAAUCGGAAUUACUGGGCGUAAAGCGUGCGCAGGCGGUUUUGUAAGUCAGAUGUGAAAUCCCCGAGCUCAACUUGGGAACUGCGUUUGAAACUACAAGACUAGAAUAUGUCAGAGGGGGGUAGAAUUCCACGUGUAGCAGUGAAAUGCUUAGAGAUGUGGAGGAAUACCAAUGGCGAAGGCAGCCCCCUGGGAUAAUAUUGACGCUCAUGCACGAAAGCGUGGGGAGCAAACAGGAUUAGAUACCCUGGUAGUCCACGCCCUAAACGAUGUCUACUAGUUGUUGGUGGAGUAAAAUCCAUGAGUAACGCAGCUAACGCGUGAAGUAGACCGCCUGGGGAGUACGGUCGCAAGAUUAAAACUCAAAGGAAUUGACGG